Molecule: ribosomal RNA, 406 nt
Filed under: uncultured bacterium
Lineage: Bacteria
Description: partial 16S ribosomal RNA
Rfam family: Bacterial small subunit ribosomal RNA
Source: RNAcentral
AUUGAACGCUGGCGGCAGGCCUAACACAUGCAAGUCGAGCGAGCGGCGGACGGGUGAGUAAUAUAUGGGGAUCUGCACGAUAGAGGGGGAUAACUACUGGACACGGUGGCUAACCCCGUAUACUAUCGGGUGAACCCAUAUGGGAUUAGCUAGGAGGUGGGGUAAAGGCGCACCUAGGCGACGAGCUCUAGCUGGUCUGAGAGGAUGAUCAGUCACACUGGGACUGAGACACGGCCCAGACUCCUACGGGAGGCAGCAGUGGGGAAUAUUGCACAAUGGGCGCAAGCCUGAUGCAGCCAUGCCGCGUGUAUGAAGAAGGCCUUAGGGUUGUAAAGUACUUUCAGCGGGGAGGCGUUACCCGCAGAAGAAGCACCGGCUAACUCCGUGCCAGCAGCCGCGGUAAUAC